AUUGAACGCUGGCGGCAGGCCCAACACAUGCAAGUCGAACGGUAACAGGAAGAAGCUUGCUUCUUUGCUGACGAGUGGCGGACGGGUGAGUAAUGUCUGGGAAACUGCCUGAUGGAGGGGGAUAACUACUGGAAACGGUAGCUAAUACCGCAUAACGUCGCAAGACCAAAGAGGGGGACCUUCGGGCCUCUUGCCAUCGGAUGUGCCCAGAUGGGAUUAGCUUGUUGGUGGGGUAACGGCUCACCAAGGCGACGAUCCCUAGCUGGUCUGAGAGGAUGACCAGCCACACUGGAACUGAGACACGGUCCAGACUCCUACGGGAGGCAGCAGUGGGGAAUAUUGCACAAUGGGCGCAAGCCUGAUGCAGCCAUGCCGCGUGUAUGAAGAAGGCCUUCGGGUUGUAAAGUACUUUCAGCAGGGAGGAAGGGAGUAAAGUUAAUACCUUUGCUCAUUGACGUUACCCGCAGAAGAAGCACCGGCUAACUCCGUG
Molecule: ribosomal RNA, 490 nt
Filed under: uncultured bacterium
Lineage: Bacteria
Description: partial 16S ribosomal RNA
Rfam family: Bacterial small subunit ribosomal RNA
Source: RNAcentral